UCGGGUAUGGUGUAAAGGUAACACGCGCGGUGCUAACGGGCUGAAUGCUUCAAGGGACUGGUCUGAGAUCGGGGUUCGAUUCCCUGUAUUCGAA
Non-coding RNA from Coprinopsis marcescibilis, 94 nucleotides. Lineage: Eukaryota; Fungi; Basidiomycota; Agaricomycetes; Agaricales; Psathyrellaceae. The record is from the annotation of a GenBank genome assembly.